ACACACACACACACACACACACACACACACACACACACUGCAGAGAUGUAGUGUAGCUCGCUGGGACUUCCUGGCCAGACGCCUGUCACUUUUACGGAGGAGCGUUUGUUUAAUAUUUCCACAAAAUGGGAAGAGCCGCCGGUCAUUACCCGGAGGAGGACGCCGUGUGCCCGAGUGUGGUGUAAUGCGAGCCGGGAAGAGUUACAUUUAUGUCCGGGGACGGUGUUAUACGGGACUAGCUAGCAGCUAGCAGCUAGCGACUCUUCUGGCUGCUUGCAACGUAUUUGUUUGUUUCGGCAAGGAUGCUACGAUGGAUACGACAGCAGCUGGGCUUUGACCCCCCCCAUCAAAGUGACACCAGGACAAUUUACGUUGCCAACCGCUUUCCCCAGCAUGGCCACUACAUACCUCAACGUUUUGCUGAUAACAGAAUUAUUUCAUCCAAGUAUACCAUUUGGAAUUUUGUCCCCAAGAAUUUGUUCGAACAGUUCAGAAGGAUAGCCAACUUUUAUUUUCUUAUCAUCUUCCUUGUACAGUUGAUGAUAGAUACCCCGACUUCCCCAGUCACCAGCGGUCUGCCUCUUUUCUUUGUCAUCACAGUGACUGCCAUUAAACAGGGCUAUGAGGACUGGCUUAGGCACAAGGCUGACAACGAGGUCAACGGUGCUCCCGUGUUUGUUGUUCGAAGUGGAAGCCUGGUCCAGACAAGAUCCAAAAACAUCAGAGUGGGGGAUAUUGUCCGUGUGGCUAAAGAUGAAACAUUUCCAGCUGACCUGGUGUUGCUGUCAUCAGAGCGUUCAGAUGGUACCUGUCACAUUACCACUGCCAGCCUCGAUGGGGAGACCAAUCUCAAGACUCACUAUUCUGUGGCAGAGACAGCUGUAUGCCAGUCUGUGACCCAACUGGAGGCCUUGCAGGCUGUAGUUGAGUGUCAGCAACCAGAAGCUGACCUUUACAGGUUUGUUGGCCGAAUAACAGUGACUCAUCAUGGGGAGGAGACAGUGAGACCGCUCGGUCCAGAAAACCUGUUGCUGCGAGGGGCCAGGUUGAAAAAUACCAAAGAAAUCUUUGGUGUUGCAGUUUAUACAGGAAUGGAGUCCAAAAUGGCCCUCAACUAUAAGUGCAAGUCUCAGAAACGCUCUGCAGUAGAGAAGUCAAUGAAUACUUUCCUCAUCAUCUAUUUGGGCAUCCUGCUGUUCGAGGCCAUCCUCAGCACCAUUCUGAAGUAUGCCUGGCAGGCCGAGGACAAAUGGGACGAGCCGUUCUACAACCAAAAGACGGAACAGGAGAAAAACAGCAGCCCGAUCUUGAAAUUCAUCUCUGACUUCUUGGCAUUCCUGGUCCUCUACAAUUUUAUCAUCCCCAUCUCACUCUAUGUUACUGUGGAGAUGCAGAAGUUCCUGGGCUCCUUUUUCAUAGGCUGGGAUAUGGACCUUUACCACGAGGAGAGUGACCAGAAAGCUCAAGUCAACACCUCAGACCUCAAUGAGGAACUUGGCCAGGUCGAGUAUGUGUUUACCGACAAGACGGGUACACUAACCGAAAAUGAAAUGCAAUUCCGGGAAUGUUCCAUCAAUGGAAACAAAUAUCGGGAAGUUAAUGGCAAACUGGUGCCAGAGGGACUGAGUGAAGAUUCACCAGAUGGCUCUACUCCUAACUUGGUUGGAGAGGAAUUGUUAUUCCUCAAAGCGGUUUCACUGUGUCACACAGUUCAGAUCAGCUACGACCAGCCAGACUGCCUGUCUGGGACAGGAGACCCGUUCUCCCAUGUUAAUGGCUUUUCGUCUAACGAAAUGGAAUACUAUGCUUCUUCACCCGAUGAAAAAGCAUUAGUUGAGGCAAUGAAAAGAAUUGGAGUGGCCUUUACUGGUGUGAGUGGUGAGACAAUGGAAAUCAAAACAUUUGGCAAACCAGAAAAGUACAAACUGCUCCAUGUGUUGGAGUUUGAUGCAGAUCGCAGGAGAAUGAGUGUCAUUCUGCAGAGCCCUUCUGGUGGCCAAGUGCUGUUUACUAAGGGAGCAGAGUCCUCCAUUUUUCCUUUCACCACCAGUGGGGAAAUAGAAAAGACAAGACUUCAUGUCGAUGAGUUUGCCUUGAGAGGGUUGCGGACCCUGGUGGUAGCAUGCCGUCAUUUCAGCCCAGAGGAGUAUAUGGAGGUGGACAGGCAUCUGAACAGCGCUCGCACUGCACUGCAGCAGAGGGAAGAGCGGCUGCAAGAGGCCUUCAGCUUCAUCGAGCGGGACCUGCAUCUCCUGGGAGCAACAGGGGUGGAAGACAAGCUACAAGAAAAAGUUCAAGAGACAAUUGAGGCUCUGCGUCUGGCAGGAAUCAAAGUUUGGGUGCUGACAGGCGACAAACACGAGACUGCGGUCAGCGUCAGUCUGUCUUGUGGUCACUUCCACAGAAACAUGAACACCCUGGAGCUCCUUCAGCAACGUUCGGACAAUGAGUGUGCUGAGCAACUCCGUAGGCUGGCGAGAAGGAUAAAAGAGGACCAUGUCAUACAGCAUGGAUUGGUUGUGGAUGGCGCCAGUUUAUCCUUAGCAUUGAGGGAACAUGAGAAGCUCUUCAUGGAAGUUUGUAAAAACUGCUCAGCCGUGCUUUGCUGCCGCAUGGCCCCACUGCAGAAAGCAAAGGUGGUGCGUCUUUUAAAAACCUCUCCAGAGAAACCAAUCACCUUAGCUGUUGGGGACGGCGCCAAUGAUGUCAGUAUGAUUCAGGAAGCCCACAUUGGCAUAGGAAUUAUGGGAAAGGAAGGGCGCCAGGCCGUGAGAAACAGUGACUAUGCAAUUGCCAGAUUCAGGUUUCUGGCCAAACUACUGUUGGUCCACGGUCACUUCUACUACAUUCGAAUAUCCACACUUGUACAAUACUUUUUCUAUAAAAAUGUGUGUUUUAUCACACCCCAGUUUUUAUACCAGUUCUUCUGUCUGUUUUCGCAACAAACUCUGUAUGACAGUGUUUAUCUGACACUGUACAACAUCUGCUUUACCUCACUGCCCAUCCUGGUGUACAGUCUGUUUGAACAGCUCGUUCAUCCACAUGUCCUGCAGACUAAACCGGUCCUGUACCGAGACAUCAGCAGGAACUCGCUCUUGUCUUUCCGAACGUUCCUCUAUUGGACUAUCUUGGGCUUCUGUCAUGCUUUCGUCUUCUUCUUUGGAUCCUACAUACUGAUGGGAGAAGACACCACACUUAUGGGCAACGGACAGAUCUUGCGAGCUAACAGGCAGCUGAUGUUUGGAAACUGGACCUUUGGAACACUGGUCUUCACAGUUAUGGUCAUAACUGUCACUUUAAAACUUGCAUUAGAGACUCAUUUCUGGACAUGGAUGAACCAUUUUGUGACGUGGGGGUCAAUAGCCUUCUAUUUCAUCUUCUCUCUCUUCUACGGAGGCAUUAUCUGGCCCUUCCUCCACACCCAGGAUAUGUAUUUUGUUUUUGUUCAGUUACUGUCCAGUGGCUCCGCAUGGUUUGCCAUCAUCAUCAUUAUCAUUACCUGCCUCUUUCCUGACGUGGUGAAGAAGGUCUUCUACCGACAUCUGCGACCCACCAGCACACAGAAGAGUCAGAUGUAUUCCAACCAUGUGGCAAUAGGUGAUGACUUCAUCGCUCUUCAACCUCUGUCCAGAGCCAAGAAUCAGCUGGGCAAAAUUAGCCUUUAUCAGCCCCCCAGGCCCAGACCCUCAGCUGCGUGGAGUCCUUGUGCUGCUACCAACAUGGGCAGAGCGGCUGUUCCCGCCUGGGCCACCUCCUGGAGCAAAUGACCGGGCCGUGCUCCACCACUGGCGACCAUUCCCACGCAUCCAGCCGCAACAACAGGUCCUGGAGUGACCCCGACAACUUCUACUCCAACGAUCGCAGCAUUCUCACGCUGUCUCCCAUCGACUCCGCCCACUGCUGACGCCUCCUUACAUCCCUCCAUCCCACCAUCCCUCCACGCCUCCAGCCCUCCCUCCUUCAACCCUCCAUCCCGCCAUCCCUCCAGCCUCUGCCCUCCACCCCACCAUCCCUCCAUCACUCCUCCCUCCAUCCCUCCACUCUUCCAGCCUCUGCCCUCCAUCUUGCCAUCCCUCCAACCUUCCAUCCCUCCAAUCUGCCAUCCCUCCACUCUCCGCCCUCCACCCCACCAUCCUUCCAUCAGUCCAGCCUCCGCCCUCCAUCCCUCCACUCUUCCAGCCUCUGCCCUCCAUCCCGCCAUCCCUCCAAUCUGCCCUCCCUCCAACCUUCCAUCCCUCCAUCUUGCCAUCCUUCCAAUCUGCCCUCCCUCCAACCUUCCAUCCCUCCAUCUUGCCAUCCCUCCAAUCUGCCCUCCCUCCACUCUCCACCCUCCACGCCACCAUCCUUCCAUCAGUCCAGCCUCCGCCCUCCAUCCCUCCAAUCUGCCCUCCCUCCAUCCCUACACCCUCCAGCCCACCAUCCCUCUGCCCUCCAUCCCUUCCCUAUCCAUCCCUCCACCCCGCCAUCCCUCCACCCUGCCACCCCUCCACCCCACCAUCCCUCUGCCCUCCAUCCCUUCGCUAUCCAUCCCUCCACCCUGCCACCCCUCCACCCCACCAUCCCUCUGCCCUCCAUCCCUUCGCUAUCCACCCCUCCACCCCUCUGCCCUCCAUCCCUUCGCUAUCAUCCCUCCACCCCGCCAUCCAUCCAUCCAUCCCUCCACCCCGCCAUCCCUCCACCCUGCCACCCCUCCACCCCACCAUCCCUCUGCCCUCCAUCCCUUCGCUAUCCAUCCCUCCACCCCACCAUCCAUCCAUCCAUCCCUCCACCCCGCCACCCCACCAUCCCUCUGCCCUCCAUCCCUUCGCUAUCCAUCCCUCCACCCUGCCAUCCACCCCGCCAUCCCUCCACCCCACCAUCCCUCUGCCCUCCAUCCCUUCGCCAUCCAUCUCUCCACCCCUCCAUCAAUCCGCCAUCCACCCUGCCACCCCGCCAUCCAUCCAUUACUCCACCCCACCAUCCCUCUGCCCUCCAUUCCCUCGCCAUCCACCCCUCCACCCCUCCAUCCCUCCACCCCUCCAUCCCUCCACCCCUUCGCCCUCCAUCCCUCUGCCAUCCACCCCUCCAUCCCUCCACGUUGCCAUCUUUCCAUCCCUCCCCCCCUCCACCCCUCAUGCCAUCUUGCAAGCUGGCUGGCUGGCUUCGAACCCGCACACAAAUAGACUCAACUGGAGCGGCCGUCUCCUGAAGCCAAAGGAGGUGGAUGUUGAAGCUGGAAGAGAAGCUUCUAGAAGCGAGCGUCAGGAGAAAAAAAACAUUUCUGCCGCUCCAAAAUGCACUUUUGAUGUCUGCUUGCUCCCGGCAGCAUCCUGCAGUUCCGUCAGCGUCCACCAGUCCGAUACCAAAGACGAUGACUUUCUUCGUGCCUGCUCGCACACGCCGAUCAUGUCCAGACUGUUCUGAACUCCCUUUUCCCGCGGCGCCCCGAGUCUGUUGAUAAAGCCAUAGAUUUUUGUUUUUGGGAGGACUUUUCAGGAAGUUUGAGUACGGUUAAAAGCUGCUGGUUGUCCUUUUCCCUUUCUUGCCUUCCUGAGUGGCGAGUGAAGGCGUUAAAACACGCGUGCGGACUUUGAAUGUUUCAUCAGCUCCGAUGGCCAUGUCACCUGUCGUCAUGGCGACUGACAGGCUGACACGCAACCCUGCGUUUUUUUAAGCCUCGACGUCAACGAAGCGAGGCCUCGGUGGGGGGGCUCCCGUCGCUAUGGUUACGCCUUAACGUCGCGCGAAGUCUUCCCGUCUGUCGUGUUCUUUGUUUGAUGAACAAUAGUUAUUAUAAUUAUGAUAAAUAAUAGUUAUAUAAUUAGGACUAUUUUGUGUGCGCCUUCAGCCACGCUGACCAACAUGAAAAGUGAUGUCAUCCAUGUAAACACAAACAGCGUACAAAAAUAAUACUCAGAUGACAGCUGGGUGUUGUUGACACGAGCGUUAAUGUUUUAAUGCUGCGUCACGUAGGGGACAUUUUUUUGCACUUAAAACUCAACUCUUAAUAUCUUUUCAACGGUUUUAUUUAUUUCUAAAUUGCUGCGGUUAUUUCACAACCUGAAUGUGGUUUUUUGUUUUGUCGAGAUCAGCAAGAUCCCAAAAAGCCUAUUGAAUAUUUUUAGGACCUAAUUAGAUGGAAUGAAUAUUUCAUGUCCUCUGAGGUUGUCACUCCCCCUAAAAGUGGUACUUUUGUUAUGUCUGCUUGAAACAUGCACAAAUAUUUACUUGAACAGCUUUUCUAUUUGUAUAAAAGCUCAUUCCUGUUAUGCUUUAAACGGAGCUCCUUUUGUGUCAGUGAUCCAGAAACACUUCCUUUGUCGCCGUGCAGCGUUUGUGAUUCAAUUAAAGCGGCAGGAAAUGGAAUUAUGGCUAAAAUUCAAGUCAGGUGUCGUGCAUUUGAACACAGCUGAUGUGACUCGGUGUUUCUGCGACAUAACACGAGCGUGGCGCGGCGUGGCUUCACUCCUUCCUCCUGUCAUCGUCGCUCCUCAGCUGUCUUCCUUCCUUCUGUCUGUAAAAACUCAAGCUGCUGUUUAUGAAAUGUUCUAUUUAUGAAAUAAAUACAUUUAUAAGAAGCA
This is an RNA transcript of Nerophis ophidion (straightnose pipefish), 6560 nucleotides long. It is a transcript of the gene named ATPase phospholipid transporting 11B, with no coding region annotated. The transcript is spliced from 32 exons. Lineage: Eukaryota; Metazoa; Chordata; Actinopteri; Syngnathiformes; Syngnathidae. The record is from RefSeq and is a predicted model, not a curated record.